This 301-nucleotide ribosomal RNA is filed under the name uncultured bacterium. RNAcentral's name for it is "partial 16S ribosomal RNA". It matches the Rfam family "Bacterial small subunit ribosomal RNA", at positions 509 to 807 of the family's 1533-position model. The record is from RNAcentral.
CAGCCGCCGCGGGAAUACGAAGGGGGCUGGCGUUGUUCGGAAUUACUGGGCGUAAAGCGCACGUAGGCGGAUAUUUAAGUCAGGGGUGAAAUCCCGCAGCUCAACUGCGGAACUGCCUUUGAUACUGGGUAUCUUGAGUAUGGAAGAGGUUAGUGGAAUUGCGAGUGUAGAGGUGAAAUUCGUAGAUAUUCGCAGGAACACCAGUGGCGAAGGCGGCUAACUGGUCCAUAACUGACGCUGAGGUGCGAAAGCGUGGGGAGCAAACAGGAUUAGAUACCCGCGUAGUCCCUGUCUCUUAUAC